Molecule: long non-coding RNA, 438 nt
Organism: Strongylocentrotus purpuratus (purple sea urchin)
Lineage: Eukaryota; Metazoa; Echinodermata; Echinoidea; Camarodonta; Strongylocentrotidae
Exons: 5
Source: RefSeq, a predicted model, not a curated record
GGAUGAACUGCAGACCCUGGUCUUGGAGAACAUAUCUGAGCUGACAGGGACAGGUUUAGAAGUCCUCAGGUCAAGGAAGUUAAAAGAUGUUCACUUCUCGGGCAUUCAAAUUACCAACGAAAGCCUAAUAGCACUUGUGACAAGAAAUCCAACAAUAUCAAGACUGGAUAUAGGUUGUUGCGGUAAGCUGACACAUGAAGUCAUCCCUGCAAUAGCAGUAACACUCGCAAAUGAACUUGAGAAUUUAAACCUUCAAAAGAUCGGCACAAUAGAGAAUAACGAUCUGGUUGUAUUAUCACAACAUUGCAAAAACUUAGAAGGGAUUGUUCUAUUUGGCUGUAGUGGAAUAACCAGUGCAGGGCUGAGGGCGCUGAGUAAAGAAUGCACCAAGCUCCAGCUCCUAGAUGUCUCCUUCUGCUACAAGCUCCAGGAGAGCUC